This 543-nucleotide ribosomal RNA is filed under the name uncultured Mycobacterium sp. RNAcentral's name for it is "bacterial SSU rRNA". It matches the Rfam family "Bacterial small subunit ribosomal RNA", at positions 54 to 606 of the family's 1533-position model. Lineage: Bacteria; Bacillati; Actinomycetota; Actinomycetes; Mycobacteriales; Mycobacteriaceae. The record is from RNAcentral.
CAUGCAAGUCGAACGGAAAGUGCCCAGCUUGCUGGGUGACUCGAGUGGCGAACGGGUGAGUAACACGUGGGUGUUCUGCCCUGCACUUUGGGAUAAGCCUGGGAAACUGGGUCUAAUACCGAAUACACCCUGCUGGUCGCAUGGCCUGGUGGGGGAAAGCUUUUGCGGUGUGGGAUGGGCCCGCGGCCUAUCAGCCUGUUGGUGGGGUGAUGGCCUACCAAGGCGACGACGGGUAGCCGGCCUGAGAGGGUGUCCGGCCACACUGGGACUGAGAUACGGCCCAGACUCCUACGGGAGGCAGCAGUGGGGAAUAUUGCACAAUGGGCGCAAGCCUGAUGCAGCGACGCCGCGUGAGGGAUGACGGCCUUCGGGUUGUAAACCUCUUUCAAUAGGGACGAAGCGCAAGUGACGGUACCUAGAGAAGAAGCACCGGCCAACUACGUGCCAGCAGCCGCGGUAAUACGUAGGGUGCGAGCGUUGUCCGGAAUUACUGGGCGUAAAGAGCUCGUAGGUGGUUUGUCGCGUUGUUCGUGAAAACUCACA